RNAcentral lists this ribosomal RNA (425 nucleotides) under uncultured bacterium. Its description in RNAcentral is "partial 16S ribosomal RNA". It matches the Rfam family "Bacterial small subunit ribosomal RNA", at positions 354 to 796 of the family's 1533-position model. The record is from RNAcentral.
GUUAGGAAUAUUGGACAAUGGGCGCAAGCCUGAUCCAGCCAUGCCGCGUGAGUGAUGAAGGCCUUCGGGUUGUAAAGCUCUUUAGUCCACGAAUAUAAUGACUGUAGUGGAAGAAUAAGCCCCGGCUAACUUCGUGCCAGCAGCCGCGGUAAUACGAAGGGGGCGAGCGUUAUUCGGAAUCACUGGGCGUAAAGCGUGCGUAGGCUGUUUUGUAAGUCAGAAGUGAAAACCCAGGGCUUAACCCUGGGAUUGCUUUUGAAACUACAAGACUCGAAUUCGGGAGAGGAUAGCGGAAUUGUCAGUGUAGCAGUGAAAUGCGUAGAUAUUGACAGGAACACCAGUGGCGCAAGCGGCUAUCUGGACCGAUAUUGACGCUGAGGCACGAAAGCGUGGGGAGCAAACAGGAUUAGAAACCCGGGUAGUCC